AUAUGAAGUUUUAUUAAAAGAAAAAAGGGUGAAAAGAACAAAGUUUUGUCCAUCUUUGUUCAUCAUAGCUGAAAGUUAGAGAAGAGAAAGGAGAGGAGAAAGCUCUUGAGUAUUCUGUCAUUAGGAGGAGGAAAAUUGAAGGUAAGUUCUUGGUACCUUGCUUCUAUUUUGAGGUUCAUGAGUUCUUCUUGAUUCUACCUUAACUCUUGAAGUAUAUUUUGAUUUUUAGUUGUGUUGUGAGCAUUUGGUCAUGAAUUAAAAUGAAGGAAAUGGUUGUUGUUUCAUGUUCUUUAGAUGAAAAAUGGAAGAUAGGUGAAGUUGAGCCAAACAAAUGAACAUGAAUGUGCCUUAGAUGCUAAAGGGAAAAAUCGGCUAACAUGUUAUGCUUUAAAAUGAUGAAAUGGAGAUUAUACUUAAGUAAAAUCAUAGAUAUGUGUUGACUGAUCGGUGAUAUACAUGUUUAAAUAACAAGCAUGCAAGUUAGGUGUGAAAGAGUGAUUUGGUAAUAAAUCUGCUUGGGACAGCAGCAGUAACGUGACUUUGGGAAAUCACCAUAAAUUGUGGGAGAUGAAUUAGAAGCUGAAUAAAUUAUGUAAUUAAAGCUUAUUGAGUCUAGUUUCUAAUGAAAUAAACAAGAACAUAUUUUGAAUUUUGUACAAUGAGAAAUUUGAUUCGUAAUGAAGAGUGGUCAGAUUAGUCAAACAGUGAAACAUGGGAAACUUUGAGAAAAAUCUGGUAUUGAUUUGCUAAACCAAAAAUUCUGAAAAUUUUAUGGAUAGAAGAUAUAUGAGUCUAUUUUCAGAGAAAAUUAACGGAACUUGAUUUGGAGUUUCGUAGCUCCAGUUAUAAAUGAUUUAGUGACUGUUGCUCAGGAAGACAGCUUGCAGUGAAAUUAUGAUUAUGUGGUAAACAUUGACAAAAAUUUGUUAAUGAGUUGCUUAUUGAUUUCUUAUAAGCUUACUAUGAUCUGUAGGUGUGGUUGGCCGAAUAUUGUAAGGGGUUAAUAUGUAGUUCGUAUUUGAAUAGUUAGAUUAACGUGUUAGUAAUCCAAUUGUAGGCGGUUCGUGUGUGGAUCUCGUCAGCAUAUCGUCGCAAACAGGUGUGUAACUGACACCCUCUCAUAGACUAGAUUGGCAAAAGCCGAAAAGCCGAAAUGCCGAAAAGUCGGUAUUUUGGGAAUUUGCGAGUGUGCGAAUGCUCGUAAGAUAGUUGGGUUUGUAUAUUUGGUAAUCUAAAGUAAUAAACUGCAGUACGCGCGAUUUCGUAGAUUUUGAUAAUUUGGGCUUAAUGGGCCAAAAAUUGGGUUCAUGGGCCAACGGGCCCAAUUCGGUAAGUAUGCGCGGUAAGUGUUCUGAUAGUACGUAAAUAGUUAGGAUAUGCAUGAAAACCCUAAAAGUAGCUAAAUUACUAUAAUACCCUUAUGUAUGGAAAAAUACUGUUAUACCCCCUAGGUGCAAAAUUACCGUUAUACCCCUAGGGUUAAUUUUGACUGAAAAGCAUGACGAUCUGAUUCUGUAUGAUGUAUGCCAUGAUUAUAUAUCUGUUGCAUGGGGACAUGGGUUAUAUUAUGGAGGAAGCGUCCUGGUGGCUAUGCCACGAUUAUCUGAUCUGGUGGCUCUGCCACAUAUAUCUGUUCUGGUGGCUCUGCCACGAUUAUCUGUAUCUGGUGACUCUGUCACAUUAUCUGUUCUGGCAGCCAUGCUGAAAAUUUUGUGGUGUGUAGCGGUUGGGUGGGUCGAGUUGUCUCCCCACACGGUGUAAGGUUGGUAUGGGGGUGUAUACGGUUGGAUAUGGUUGGGUUUCUGCAUAAACAUGUAAUAUCUAUUCUGUUCUGCUAUGGGCCUAUGGGCUUUAUUCUGAAUUCUGUUCUGGGCUAAGGCCAACUUAUUCUAUUUCUGUGGUUUGAGCUAAUAUAGGCUAUGGUUGGGUUAAUUUACACACUGAGUUUCCCUAAACUCACCCCUUUUAUUUUCAUCCACGCAGGAAAUCCCCAACCAUAGUGGGCUUGGAGCUGUGAGGGAAUUCGGAGUGGCCACCCGUUCUGAAAGUUUGAUUUUCUUCUGGUGAACUGGACAUCCUUUUAAUUACGUUUGAGGUUUUGGGCUUUUAAAUGUAAUAAGGCCGCUUAUUUAUUUUUGAUGGUUUUUAAUAUGUAUUACUAAGAUAGGUAAUACUUAUUUUAACUGUUGAAAUUGGAUAGCUUUAGGGCUCGUUUUCAAAAACAACAGUUGAUUUCAAAAUAACACGACAACAAGCAAAGCUUCCGCAAUGAAAGUAUUUUCCAAAAUUAAUCACUUUUCCUAAAAAUGACUUAAU
This 2316-nucleotide long non-coding RNA is filed under the name Gossypium barbadense (sea-island cotton). RNAcentral describes it as "long non-coding RNA (GBAR_LNC002802)". The record is from RNAcentral. Lineage: Eukaryota; Viridiplantae; Streptophyta; Magnoliopsida; Malvales; Malvaceae.